This 390-nucleotide ribosomal RNA is filed under the name Eukaryota sp. RNAcentral describes it as "SSU rRNA". It matches the Rfam family "Eukaryotic small subunit ribosomal RNA", at positions 828 to 1217 of the family's 1831-position model. The record is from RNAcentral.
CUUUGGUUCUAUUUUGUUGGUUUCUAGGACCGAAGUAAUGAUUAAUAGGGACAGUUGGGGGCAUUAGUAUUUAAUUGUCAGAGGUGAAAUUCUUGGAUUUAUGAAAGACUAACUUCUGCGAAAGCAUUUGCCAAGGAUGUUUUCAUUAAUCAAGAACGAAAGUUAGGGGAUCGAAGACGAUCAGAUACCGUCGUAGUCUUAACCAUAAACUAUGCCGACUCGGGAUCGGUGGGUGUUCUUUCAUGACUCCAUCGGCACCGUACGAGAAAUCUCAAGUCUUUGGGUUCUGGGGGGAGUAUGGUCGCAAGGCUGAAACUUAAAGGAAUUGACGGAAGGGCACCACCAGGAGUGGAGCCUGCGGCUUAAUUUGACUCAACACGGGGAAACUCA